Molecule: ribosomal RNA, 883 nt
Filed under: Cyclobacteriaceae bacterium
Lineage: Bacteria; Pseudomonadati; Bacteroidota; Cytophagia; Cytophagales; Cyclobacteriaceae
Description: bacterial SSU rRNA
Rfam family: Bacterial small subunit ribosomal RNA
Source: RNAcentral
ACUAUGGAGAGUUUGAUCCUGGCUCAGGAUGAACGCUAGCGGGAGGCCUAAUACAUGCAAGUCGAACGGUAGAUCGGGUAGCAAUACUUGAUUGAGAGUGACGUAAGGGUGCGUAACACGUAUGCAAUCUACCCUCAACAGGAGUAUAGCUCGGGGAAACUCGGAUUAACACUCCAUAACAUUACGAUGUGGCAUCACAUUGUGAUUAAAACUCCGGUGGUUGAGGAUGAGCAUGCGUCUGAUUAGUUAGUUGGAGGUGUAACGGACCCCCAAGACGAUGAUCAGUAGGGGAACUGAGAGGUUGAUCCCCCACACUGGCACUGAGAUACGGGCCAGACUCCUACGGGAGGCAGCAGUAGGGAAUAUUGGUCAAUGGGUGAGAGCCUGAACCAGCCAUGCCGCGUGCAGGAAGACGGCCUUCUGGGUUGUAAACUGCUUUUAUCUGGGGAUAAAAAGCCCAUGCGUGGGACAUUGAAGGUACCAGAUGAAUAAGCACCGGCUAACUACGUGCCAGCAGCCGCGGUAAUACGUAGGGGCCGAGCGUUGUCCGGAGUUACUGGGCGUAAAGCGCGCGCAGGCGGCUCGUCAAGCCUGACGUGAAAGCCCCCGGCUCAACCGGGGAGGGUCGUCGGGGACUGGCGGGCUUGAGGUCGGCAGGGGUUGGUGGAAUUCCCGGUGUAGUGGUGAAAUGCGUAGAGAUCGGGAGGAACACCCGUGGCGAAGGCGGCCAACUGGGCCGGACCUGACGCUGAGGCGCGAAGGCGUGGGGAGCGAACGGGAUUAGAGACCCCGGUAGUCCACGCGGUAAACGAUGCCGACUGGACGUGCACCACUACGGUGGGGCGUGUCGAAGCUAACGCGGGAAGUCGGCCGCCUGGGAAGU